GACACGGUCCAGACACCUACGGGUGGCAGCAGUCGAGAAUUUUUCUCAAUGGGGGAAACCCUGAAGGAGCGACGCCGCGUGGAGGAUGAAGGCUUUCGGGUUGUAAACUCCUGUCAUUUGGGAACAAGUUAGUGCGGUUAACUGCCGCAUUAUUGAUAGUACCAGAAGAGGAAGAGACGGCUAACUCUGUGCCAGCAGCCGCGGUAAUACAGAGGUCUCAAGCGUUGUUCGGAUUCAUUGGGCGUAAAGGGUGCGUAGGUGGCGCGCUAAGUCAGGUGUGAAAUUUCGGAGCUUAACUCCGAAACUGCAUUUGAUACUGGCGUGCUUGAGGACUGGAGAGGAGACUGGAAUUCACGGUGUAGCAGUGAAAUGCGUAGAGAUCGUGAGGAAGACCAGUGGCGAAGGCGGUCUCUGGACAUU
Molecule: ribosomal RNA, 420 nt
Filed under: uncultured soil bacterium S0106
Lineage: Bacteria
Description: bacterial SSU rRNA
Rfam family: Bacterial small subunit ribosomal RNA
Source: RNAcentral